Molecule: small nuclear RNA, 339 nt
Filed under: Sorex araneus (European shrew)
Lineage: Eukaryota; Metazoa; Chordata; Mammalia; Eulipotyphla; Soricidae
Description: 7SK RNA (ENSSARG00000015110.1)
Rfam family: 7SK RNA
About the family: 7SK was discovered as an abundant small nuclear RNA in the mid-70s but a possible function has only recently been suggested. Two independent studies have found that 7SK RNA binds the CDK9/cyclin T complex (known as elongation factor P-TEFb).
Source: RNAcentral
GCAUAUGAGGAUGAUCUGGCUGCGAUAUCUGUAGCCCCAUUGAUCGCCAGUGUUGACUUGGCUGAUCUGGUUGGCUAAGCGGGUGUCCCCUUCCUCCCUCACCACUCCAUGUGCGUCCCUCCCCAAGCUGUGUGCUCGGUGGAAGAGGAAGGCCUUCCCCAAAUAGAGACGGACCGGUCUUCGGUGGAGGGUAUACGAGUAGCUGCGCUCCCCUGCUAGAACCUCCAAACAAGCUCUCAAUUCAAAUUGAGCUAAUGAUAUGAGUUUCCCUGGGCUUUAAAAGCAAAAGUGGACAAUGUUCAUAAGGUAUUUUGCAAGUAAGGUGUUUUGCAAAUAUUG